This is a long non-coding RNA of Thalassophryne amazonica, 501 nucleotides long. RefSeq lists it as uncharacterized. The record is from RefSeq and is a predicted model, not a curated record. NCBI's taxonomy places the organism in Eukaryota, Metazoa, Chordata, Actinopteri, Batrachoidiformes, Batrachoididae. The transcript has 2 exons.
AUCUCGAGCAGUCACUUGCUUGUUGAUCUUUCUUAUUCUUCUUGUAAAGCCACUUUGCUCGAUGCGUCUCCAAAGUGCGCACUUCCAGUCUGCAGCAGCGCUCCGCAGACUUCCCGCCGGGCUGCGCUCCCUUAUUUCUGGAGGCGCAGCGACAAUCAGCCCCAACAGGAUUGGAGCCGAAUGCGGUGCGCGCUCGCCGUCUGCGCGUUUCCCCACAAAUCACACCGGAUGGAAGUCGUGAUGAAAACUGAACGGAUGCGGGAUCGCUGUCAAGUGUCCAAAAGGAGAGAGGAGGACGCAGACUGCGCUGCAAACCGACGGAGAGACAAACUGGCACCAUAAAGGGUCUCCCUGCAGAAACACGCUGCAGUGAUCACGGAUGCUCCGCGCAAGAAGUUAAAGCCGGUUGAUUUGUAUUAUGCAUCUGAUUUCUUAUCGCUGUUUUGGAUCAAAGGAUAAGAGCUGUGAUCCCUCUGAGAGAAGUUCAAAUGCGCAACAUCC